GGUUAAGCGACUAAGCGUACACGGUGGAUGCCCUGGCAGUCAGAGGCGAUGAAGGACGUGCUAAUCUGCGAUAAGCGUCGGUGAGGUGAUAUGAACCGUUAUAACCGGCGAUUUCCGAAUGGGGAAACCCAGUGUGUUUCGACACACUAUCAUUAACUGAAUCCAUAGGUUAAUGAGGCGAACCGGGGGAACUGAAACAUCUAAGUACCCCGAGGAAAAGAAAUCAACCGAGAUUCCCCCAGUAGCGGCGAGCGAACGGGGAGGAGCCCAGAGCCUGAAUCAGUGUGUGUGUUAGUGGAAGCGUCUGGAAAGGCGUGCGAUACAGGGUGACAGCCCCGUACACAAAAAUGCACAUAUUGUGAGCUCGAUGAGUAGGGCGGGACACGUGGUAUCCUGUCUGAAUAUGGGGGGACCAUCCUCCAAGGCUAAAUACUCCUGACUGACCGAUAGUGAACCAGUACCGUGAGGGAAAGGCGAAAAGAACCCCGGCGAGGGGAGUGAAAAAGAACCUGAAACCGUGUACGUACAAGCAGUGGGAGCCUCUUAAUGGGGUGACUGCGUACCUUUUGUAUAAUGGGUCAGCGACUUAUAUUCUGUAGCAAGGUUAACCGAAUAGGGGAGCCGAAGGGAAACCGAGUCUUAACUGGGCGUUAAGUUGCAGGGUAUAGACCCGAAACCCGGUGAUCUAGCCAUGGGCAGGUUGAAGGUUGGGUAACACUAACUGGAGGACCGAACCGACUAAUGUUGAAAAAUUAGCGGAUGACUUGUGGCUGGGGGUGAAAGGCCAAUCAAACCGGGAGAUAGCUGGUUCUCCCCGAAAGCUAUUUAGGUAGCGCCUCGUGAAUUCAUCUCCGGGGGUAGAGCACUGUUUCGGCAAGGGGGUCAUCCCGACUUACCAACCCGAUGCAAACUGCGAAUACCGGAGAAUGUUAUCACGGGAGACACACGGCGGGUGCUAACGUCCGUCGUGAAGAGGGAAACAACCCAGACCGCCAGCUAAGGUCCCAAAGUCAUGGUUAAGUGGGAAACGAUGUGGGAAGGCCCAGACAGCCAGGAUGUUGGCUUAGAAGCAGCCAUCAUUUAAAGAAAGCGUAAUAGCUCACUGGUCGAGUCGGCCUGCGCGGAAGAUGUAACGGGGCUAAACCAUGCACCGAAGCUGCGGCAGCGACACUAUGUGUUGUUGGGUAGGGGAGCGUUCUGUAAGCCUGUGAAGGUGGCCUGUGAGGGUUGCUGGAGGUAUCAGAAGUGCGAAUGCUGACAUAAGUAACGAUAAAGCGGGUGAAAAGCCCGCUCGCCGGAAGACCAAGGGUUCCUGUCCAACGUUAAUCGGGGCAGGGUGAGUCGACCCCUAAGGCGAGGCCGAAAGGCGUAGUCGAUGGGAAACAGGUUAAUAUUCCUGUACUUGGUGUUACUGCGAAGGGGGGACGGAGAAGGCUAUGUUGGCCGGGCGACGGUUGUCCCGGUUUAAGCGUGUAGGCUGGUUUUCCAGGCAAAUCCGGAAAACCAAGGCUGAGGCGUGAUGA
This 1523-nucleotide ribosomal RNA is filed under the name Escherichia coli. Its description in RNAcentral is "partial 23S ribosomal RNA". It matches the Rfam family "Bacterial large subunit ribosomal RNA", at positions 1 to 1569 of the family's 2925-position model. The record is from RNAcentral. RNAcentral also lists the same sequence under 3 other names. Lineage: Bacteria; Pseudomonadati; Pseudomonadota; Gammaproteobacteria; Enterobacterales; Enterobacteriaceae.